GAUGAAGAACGCAGCGAAAUGCGAUACGUAGUGUGAAUUGCAGAAUUCCGUGAACCAUCAAAUCUUUGAACGCAUAUUGCGCUCGAGGCUUCGGCCGAGAGCAUGUCUGCCUCAGCGUCGGUAUUACCCCUCGCUUCUCAACCCCUGGUUGAUGCCUGCCUGCCUUUGCAGUUGGCUAGAAGCGGAUCUGGCUUUCCCAAUUGCCUUUGGUAGUUGGGUCAGCUGAAGCACAGAGGCUUGAGCAAGGACCCUUAUUGGGCUUCAACUGGAUAGGUAGAACUGGUCUUAGGACCAACUACACGAAGUUGUUGCUUGUGGUCUUUUGUCUGGAGGCCAGCAGGAAACCUUUAUACCUUCGACCUGAGCUCAGUCAAGAUUACCCGCUGAACUUAAGCAUAUCAAUAAGCGGAGGA
Molecule: unclassified non-coding RNA, 413 nt
Filed under: soil metagenome
Description: partial contains 5.8S ribosomal RNA, internal transcribed spacer 2, and large subunit ribosomal RNA
Rfam family: 5.8S ribosomal RNA (bases 1-120)
Source: RNAcentral